GGGCAGUGGCGGGGUGCUAUACAUGCAGUCGAGCGAUGAAGAGGAGCUUGCUCCUCUGAUUUAGCGGCGGACGGGUGAGUAACACGUGGGUAAUCUGCCUGUAAGACGGGGAUAACUCCGGGAAACCGGGGCUAAUACCGGAUAAUAAGAAGAAACGCAUGUUUCUUUUUUGAAAGUCGGUUUCGGCUGACACUUACAGAUGAGCCCGCGGCGCAUUAGCUAGUUGGUGAGGUAACGGCUCACCAAGGCGACGAUGCGUAGCCGACCUGAGAGGGUGAUCGGCCACACUGGGACUGAGACACGGCCCAGACUCCUACGGGAGGCAGCAGUAGGGAAUCUUCGGCAAUGGGCGAAAGCCUGACCGAGCAACGCCGCGUGAGCGAUGAAGGCCUUCGGGUCGUAAAGCUCUGUUGUUAGAGAAGAACAAGUACGAGAGUAACUGCUCGUACCUUGACGGUACCUAACCAGAAAGCCACGGCUAACUACGUGCCAGCAGCCGCGGUAAUACGUAGGUGGCAAGCGUUAUCCGGAAUUAUUGGGCGUAAAGCGCGCGCAGGCGGUCUCUUAAGUCUGAUGUGAAAGCCCACGGCUCAACCGUGGAGGGUCAUUGGAAACUGGGAGACUUGAGUGCAGGAGAGAAAAGUGGAAUUCCACGUGUAGCGGUGAAAUGCGUAGAGAUGUGGAGGAACACCAGUGGCGAAGGCGGCUUUUUGGCCUGUAACUGACGCUGAGGCGCGAAAGCGUGGGGAGCAAACAGGAUUAGAUACCCUGGUAGUCCACGCCGUAAACGAUGAGUGCUAGGUGUUGGGGGGUUCCACCCUCAGUGCUGAAGUUAACACAUUAAGCACUCCGCCUGGGGAGUACGACCGCAAGGUUGAAACUCAAAGGAAUUGACGGGGGCCCGCACAAGCAGUGGAGCAUGUGGUUUAAUUCGAAGCAACGCGAAGAACCUUACCAGGUCUUGACAUCCUUUGACCACUCUAGAGAUAGAGCUUUCCCCUUCGGGGGACAAAGUGACAGGUGGUGCAUGGUUGUCGUCAGCUCGUGUCGUGAGAUGUUGGGUUAAGUCCCGCAACGAGCGCAACCCUU
RNAcentral lists this ribosomal RNA (1089 nucleotides) under Fictibacillus barbaricus. RNAcentral's name for it is "bacterial SSU rRNA". It matches the Rfam family "Bacterial small subunit ribosomal RNA", at positions 31 to 1106 of the family's 1533-position model. Lineage: Bacteria; Bacillati; Bacillota; Bacilli; Caryophanales; Fictibacillaceae. The record is from RNAcentral.